CAUGCAUGCACAUAUAAUAUAUAAAAUAUCGGAAAAACUUCAAAUAUCACCCAUGUGGUUUCACACUUCUCACUUUAGUACCAUAUGGUUUAAAAUGUAUCAAUUUAAUAUCAUGUGGUUUUAUUUUUAUUUUUUUAUUAUCGAUUUUACUAAUUUUUUUCGUUAAAUCAGUGAUAAAGUUUAAAAUUAAAAGGUACUGAAGUGAAUAUCUGAUAAACCUAGGUAAGAUAUCUGUAGUUUUUUGCAUAUAAUUUAACGAAAUAUUAACGAAAAACUGACGAAAAAAUAAAAAUGAAAUCACAGGACACUAACUUGAAAUACUUUAAACACAGGGUACUAAAGUGAGAAAAUGCGAAACUACCAGAUGGUAUUUGGAGUUUACCCUAAUAUAUAUAGAGAGAGAGAGAAAAGAAGAAAGAUAGAGACUACUGCACUUUGAAAAGUGCGGAGCUUUUUAUACUUUUAUAGAUUACUUUUGACGAUGGAAUAUUUGAUUGGGAGAUCAAUUCUGUUAAAUAUAAUCUAUAAUGUUGAAAUUGUUUAGAAACAAAGGUUUAUGAUUUUUCAACACCGUUUGCCUAAUAAAUGCCUAAUAAAUGCAUAGCUUCAAAAUGAAUGAUUGAAAAUAAAAAUCUCGUCAAAAAAUAAUGACAGAGUACUUAAAUUUUAAAUCAAAAAUAUUGAUCUUGAUGAUAAGUAGAAUUUAUUAUUAAAGUUUUAUCUAAUUUAAAUUAUUCUACGCCAUUAAACUUACAAACUCACCAUAUCAGUUAUUAAAAUAGUUAUUUUUGAACCUGUUUGAUAACUUAGUAAAUUAUAUCGAAAAAUUAUAAAAUUUAGUUUUCAAACACUUUUAAUGGCGUAAAUCAUACCUAAUAGAGUGGAUAGUCAAAUCGAAUAUCUCAUCAUUAAAAAUAAUUUAAAAAUACAAAUAUUUUCGUGCUUUCACAAAUAGACCAGAUUGAUGUAAAGAUACAUGAUGAAAUGGAGAGAGAAACAUUUACGUCCAAUAUUGGCGUGGUUUGGUGGUGGCAAUCCCUUGUUUCCAUCCUCACGUGCAUGGUGGCCUCGUAAAUUUAAAUGCAUUCCGUGGCCUCGUACAUUAAUUAACUGUAACAUAUUUUUUAAGCAGGUGGCAAAAAAUUUACUGGUUGGUACCCGAGAUCCAAGUUCGAAUCCUAGUUGAUUCACAUUUUCAGCUAUGUUUAUUUCUAAAUGAAAUAAACGAAGCGGGUAGCGUGCUACCUAUCUCUCUCAAAAAAAAAAAAAAAAAAAACAUGUUUUUUAAGCUGCAAUUUAUAAUAUUUUACGCUUUAAAUUAAGGCCAAUUAAAAAAGGAAGGAUCACCGUGCACUUUGCCCCCUUGCAAAUUUAAGGCCAAUUAAAAAAGGAAGGAUCACCGUGCACUUUGCCCCCUUGCAAAUGCAGUCCAUGGCCUCCUUUCCCCCCAUAUAUCCCAAAUGACGUGAACUUUGUUUGGGAUAUAUGGGGGGAAAGGAAGGAUCACUGACAGAAGUAUAACAGAUUUACUGAUCUAGUAGGCUACUGGUGGAUAAUUUGAAAGGUCAGAAACAACACAAUCUUUCGGAAUAUCCUACCGAACCCCAAACUUGUGGUACACAGACUCAAACUUCUUGUGAAGGAGUGGAACCUCCUCCUCGUUUAGUUGUUUUUUUCUUUUUCUUUUUUCUUUUUUACUUUUUCAGUUUAGUUUAGUUUUUUCUCGAGGUGGGUUGCCCCACACUUGUAGCUUAAUUCAUCUAUCUAAUGAAUGAAGCGGAUAGCGUAAUACCUUUUUCUCAAAAAUAAUAAUAAUAAUAAUAAUAAUUACAAAAAGGCUAAAUUAAAUAAAACCUCCAUGUCAAAAUCCGAUUUUUCACUUUCCCCCUCUGUCAUUUAAAAACCUACACUUUGGCCCCUUAUAAAAUGAAAAAUGUUCACUUCGCCUCCUGCCGUUAGUAAUUCGUUAGGGUUCCGUUUAUAAAAUAUUAUUAUAUGAUUUUUUAUGCCAAAAAUGCACUGUCUUUUCUCUUGUGAACAUAAUGAGGGCAAAAUGAUGAGGGACAAAAUAGUCAUUUUAUCAUCACAGUUCACACCGUACCUCUCUGUGAACAUUUUUUAUUUUACAAGGGGGACAAAGUGUAGGUUUUUAAAUGACAGGGGGGGAAGUGAAAAAUCGGGUUUUGACUGGGUGGGGGGAGGGGUUCUGUAAUUUAGCCUUACAAAAAAGCUAAGGGAUAAUUGCCUAUAUACCCCUCAUGUGUCUGGAAAUAUUCGAUCUACCCCUACUUUUUUUUUCUUUCUAAAAUGUCCCUCAUAUGUUCUACCGUUAUUCCAAAAUACCCCGCAGUUAUCCUCUGUUAGCUUUUUUUUUUUUUUUGAGAGAUAGAUAACACGCUACCCGCUUCGUUUAUUUUAUUUAGAAAUAAACUUAACUAGAAAUGUGAAUCAACUAGGAUUCGAACUUGGGUCUCGGAUACCAACAACCAAGUUAAAUAUGGGUUAAAUGUAUACUAGAGUUAAAACCUAUAUAAAAUACCUAUUUUACCCCUACCUUAUUAUGUUAAUUCCUUAAGUUAUUCUCUUUCUCUCCCAACAUGAUCGUCGUCUCCUCCGCCUCCACCUCGCCUCAUCUCCUCCUAGACCACCACCACCUCCCAGACCACCACCCCUCUCACCGCUAUCCUCCUCCUCCUCCUCCGCCGCCGCCGCCGCCUUGGCCGGCGCCGGGAGCCUAUGGAUUUGUUGAAUCGUCGUCGUCCUCCUCCUCCUCCGACCUCUCCCUCCUCAACUCCCACGCCUACAUCCACCCCGACGGCGCCCGCACGCUCCGCUUGCGCCUGCCAAAGGCCGAAUCGCCCGCCUCAUGCACGCGAGCACCGACGCAGCCCGCAAGAUCAUGGAUCUCUGGGUCGCCCGCAACCAGCACCCCUCCCCUACCACGCCCAACCACACCAGGCCCUCGCCCUUGCGGACGCCGGAGCGCGGCACGCUCUCGCCCUCACGGUCGCCCGACUACGGCGCGCCCUCACCCUUGGGUGUGCGCAGUCCACGAGGCCAAUUUGGCCGCGUGGACCGGAUGAGAGGGAGGUCCACUGCGAACCUCCCUCUCAUUAUAUAUAUAUAUAUAUAUAUAUAUAGUAUUUUAUUUAUAUAUAGAAAUAUUAUUAUAUAAUAUUUUAUUUAUAAAUUUGUAAUUAUUUAUUAAUAUUUUUAAAUAUAUAACUCUUAUAUAUUAUUAGUAUAUGUUUAUUAUAAUUUUAAAUAUAUUUAAUCUAUAUAUAAAUAUUAUAAUAAUAAUAUAUAUAGUAUAAUAUCGAAUUUUUAAAAAGUAUAUAUAAAAAUUAUAUUUGAUCCCGAAUUUUUAAUUGGUGAACGUAUAAUACUCGUAUAAAUCACGUAUCCGAAUAACUACCGAAUCCAUUUUUUAGCCGUAUUUUUCAACGAAUUUAAAAAUUAAAAGACGAAUUUUAUCCGAAUUAUAUCCGUACCGAAUUUUUGCCGAAUCCGAAUUAACUAACUAUGCCUCCAGCCACCAAGGUUGGUUUAACUACAAUUGAUCUCAUCCGUUCAUCUGCUCGCUCCCGAUGUGCUUAAUUAAUUAAUUAAUAUUUGAAGGGCAAAUAAGAAAAGUAUUUGCUAUAUGAAGGGUAUAUAAGAAAAGUUAGUUACGGUAGAAGGGUAUAUAGGAAUGGGCAAAAUAUUAAUUUUUCAGAGAUAACGGCAACUCACUAACGGAACUUAACUCCAGGGAUAUAUUAGAAAGACUUGGAACAUAAGAAGGAUAUUUUCAAUAUUACCCUUUUAAGAGGGGUAAAUAAAAAAAUCGGGAACUUUUCAGGGGUAUACAGGCAAUUGCCCCCAAAAGCUAAAAGUUCAUAGGCCUCUCUAUGUACGCUUCACCCAGAAAAGGGAAAAUGUAUAGUACUAGAAAAAUGAGCAUAAAGCAUAUAUCUGCUUUCUCUUUCAUGCUAAGAGCUACUACCUAUUUGCACCAUCUAAAAAAACAAAAAACAGAUUUAAGAUAACAUACUUGCUCAACUUCUAAGGUUUCUUUAUAUGAACCGUAUACAGUAAGCAUUCAAUCUGACAAAGUUUCUCUACAAGUACAACUUCUAUUUGAUUAUACAGAGGCCAAAAAACAAAAAACAUGUUUUGAGCACAGCACAAUUCCGCUAAGAAAGUAACCGUCAAACUGCGUGAAAAUUUAACUUGAUCUACUACACAAGAUGGCAUCACAUUUUCUUAAACUACCAAAGAAACAUGAGUACCUAAUGAUUAGAGAGAGAGAAGAAGUCACACCUUGCAGAUCCUGAACAUCUCGAGCUCCAAUUGGCGUAGAGUACCUUGCAUCGACCGAAACACCAGCACUUCCAGAGUUCUGGUACCAUGAAAGAAGAUGCAACAAUUCAGUUUUCAAAUGAUGUUCAACUAUGUGUAAGUAUGUGAUAUUUGAUGUAAUAUUGCGAUGAUUAUUCAUGACCGAAUUCUCUGCUUAGAAACUACUGCACAUCAGGCCUAAGUUUUCAGGUACUUACUGGACUCAGCAGCUUUAGAUUGGAGAAUCUUAAGUUGUGCAGAAUCACUUUGCUACAAUAUAUUGAUGGCUAUGAACAUAAUGAACAAGAUACUGGAUCGCAACUAAUUCCUUCAACCAUCGGCUCAGGCUGAUAAAAACAGAGGUUUCACUGGCAUACCACAUGUUGGAGGUAAAUUAUAAUUUAGGCCUCACGAACACUAAUGGAGAUAUGAAAAAUUCAAACACAAACAAAAUUAAGCAGAGAGAUAGUUUAGAAGGACGCCAAUUUUGGAUUGCCUGGACUGUCGCAAGCAUUUGAAGCCUUGGUAGUUAAUUUUCGGUUCACAAGUGUAUUCAUGUAAAUCUUGGAGCUGUAAAUAAUUUUUUACAGUAGUAAAUUGACCUCAUCAAUAGGUUAAGCUAACCUGUUGCCAUUUUCAAAACGAAAAAAUUAAGAGAAAAAGAAAAAGAAAAAAAAAAACUAUAAUGGAGAUAUCAAUUUGAUCCCUCGACUCUUUGUUGGUAUAAAAAAUAACAUAACAAAAUAUACAAAGGAUUAAUUUUCACAAGUAGUAGAAAGCAAAGCAGAAGAAACUGAAGUGUGCAUUAGAUACCUCCAAAAGCUUUCGGAGAUUCACAUAUAGAAAUAAAGCAGGACUAAGUUGGCCUUAAUAAAUGGAUGAUCAUUUGCAUGUGUAAAUUGAUGACAAUGCCUUCCCUUUCUUUCAGGAAAAGAGACCUAUAAGCCUUUACAAUAUGAAGUAAAUGUAUGAAAGAAAGAAAAGAGGGAUAAGAGUGAACUACUUCAAGUGACAGAUGGAUCCACUUCUCUCAGUUACUGCCAGAUGAAUCCAAUAUUUUUGCUCCUUGUAUAUAGAAAUAUUUUAUAAAGGUAUACAAAAAAUGAGGUUGUUAUCUUCCCAACUGCCUCCAACCUGCACAAAAUAAAAGGAUCAUAGAAAUUACCAUUCCAUACUUUUCAAUAGUUCCAAUUCAAUACUCAUAUCAAUUUAUCAUUCCAUAAUAAAAGGAUGAAAUAUGAAGAUCAUUUCACUUAUCAUUUACCUACCAUGUAAUACUCAUUACUAUGAUGUGCAAUCUGUGCUUAGCAAUUUGAUUAUCAGUAAGAACCCAAACAGAGAAAUAUAUGUAUGAUACCACUUGAAAUAAUACAGGCAUUGUUCCAUGCAAUUAGGGCCUAUUUGGCGGGGCUUAAGCUUCUGCAAGAGAGUCAUAUUGAGCAAUUGGAAAAAGCAUUGACAGCUUUUUAAUUAAAAUCACCCCAACAACAUCCAAUUGCAGUAGAAGCAGACCUUUCAAUUGCAGUUUCUAUUUGUGAGUCCCAAAAGCUCAUUUCAGGUUAGCAGCCGCAAACGAACAAGAACUAUUCUUUGCUUAACCCUAAAUACUUCUCACAAGUAGAGCUGAUUCCAAAUCUCUGCGAAAAAGGCAAUUUGUCAUUUAAGCAUCUUUUCACUGGAUAAUCUCGUACCAAAGGUUUCCCUUGGCAAUUAGUCUGGGGAACGCUUUAAGGGCUGUUUGGUACUGAGGUCCAUCUAAUGCUAAUAGAUAAAAUGAAGUUGGGGCAAAAACAUAUAGGAAAAUGCUUCUGUGUUCUCCAGUAGGACUGCAGAAAAUAUAUUAUAACCAAUUCAUUGUGAUAUGUGGAACGUGAUAUUAUAUAUGGAAACAAAAAAGAUAUUUUCUCAUCGUACUUUUCCACUGCACAUAACGCAAUCGUCCCGUAAUCCCAAACAGAGCCCAAGUGUUUGUAAAAUGUAAAUGAACAUUUUUGGGGAAUCCGAGUACCAUACAUAAAUAUGAAAAUUAACAAUUUAAAUUCUAACAAAUAGCUUCAACAAAUAAAAAAUGAGCUAACCUAAUGCACAAUCAGUGAGAAGUGUUUUUUGUUUCGUUGUUUCCAAAAAAAACUCACCAUUUGUGAACAAGUAAGAGAAAAGAAGUUCAUUCCAAGCAUCUGGAACUCCAGGGAGACACCAGUGGCUGCAAUCCAGAUCGGGAGAAGGGUAAUUCCAAGUGCCAAUAUGAGCAUCACUUCGGAACAAACCCAUCGAAGUAACGUUCAGCAAAGUCACGGGAACUCUCAUAUUGGUAACCACAUCAUUGAGAAUUUUACCAAAUUCACUCUUGUCCUCAAAAGAUGGCUGUUUCGAUACAUUGCACCCCUUUCCGUUUGAGCCACUAAGUUACCACAAAAACACAAAAAGCUAGCAAUUAUAUUAUGAAGGAAAACAUACAGACAAUCCAGGACCUCUAGCGCAUUUUGAAAUGAGUGCCUAAACUUUUGACAGCAUUUUUGUGGUACAUUUUAAGAUGUUUCAUGUAUAGAUGAACUUCAUGAUUUAAUGCCUUCAACCAUUAAAGCUGUCAUUCAUCAUAACGCAUCCAGAUUUUACCUGCUCUUUUGAGUGGCAACAGGCUUUAUAUGUUCUAAUAAGUUGGAUCAUCGUAGGCUUUACCUACACUAAACUUAUUUUCAUCUGAACUUUGCUGUUGUAUUUGGUUCUAGUUUCUAGAUGAUGCAUUUGCAAUAUGUGCCCUGUUUCCAACAUUUUUUUAAUAUUUUGCAGAAAUUUCCAAUUCAAUGAAACACCCCCAAAAAUUGCCAGAAAUUAAAGAGAUGACAGUUUAUUAUGAUUUCCAUACUGAAACUUAAAUUCGACCUAUCUUCAUAUUUUCUUUAUGCUGACACUUAUAGGUCUUCUAGCAGGUUUCAUGUAAUUUCACCAAAUCAACAAUCUCUUUUAGAGAUCGAAUGUACUUUAUUUGAUAUUGCCAUGUUGCCAUCAAAUGGAUCUUGCAGCAGUAUCCACUCUUUUCUGCCUUUUGCAUUCAGGACACAUCACUGACCUUUGAAUGCGAAAGGAGUAGGUUUCUGGACCAAAAGGAUCUGCUGAUAAAACCUCCUCAGUGUAGAAAUGCGACAGUAAAUUAUCUUAAAAUUCGAGGGGUCCAACACAAUGAAUGUGCAUUGUAUCCGCCUUAACAUUUUCUAGAAACUUGUCUUACCCUUCCAUAGAACCUCAAACAUCACUGCAUAAAAACUAGCAUCUACUUAUCAGGUGCAAACUUCUGUUUUUUUUUUUGUUUUUGUUUUUUUUUUUUUUGGUGAAAAGUUGAGGUGAACUUUGCAUGUCAGUUCCGAAUCCAGUGGUUAUAGAAGAACUAAUGUCAUUCCUGUAAUCCAGUGGAUAUAGAAAACAAACUAAGUUGCAGUUCCAGAGACUUCAAGAAUGUUUUGGAACAAAUGAGAUGCGCACCUCCAAUGAGAAGGCUCAUAAGUCCUGAAAAAGACUUGAGUUCUAUUUGUGUCUACGAUCUUUUCUACCCACGACGCCCAAGUGUGCAAAGCCAUUCUAAAGGCAGCAUUGAUGGGCAUCCCAAGCUUGAGUCGUCCUCCGGCCUGGAAAUGGCGACCCCUGUUGAAAAAUCCGACGUGAAAAUAGUAUAAGGAAACAAUAUAAACAUCAUAAGGCAUUAUUCAUAACCAUAUACGUUUUAUAAGAACAAACACUAUGCAUUCGCUUUAGCUUCUAAGUCACGAAGCUCAAACUAUAUAAAUGUUUUGUCCAUAAUUAGUACAGGCAAAUCAUGCAGCAAAGCAUACCAGAGUCACAACAUACACCUUAGAACAUUCAGAUUCCCGGGAGUGAAAUGUUAUUAAUUACCUGUUUAUUUUUUGAAUCUUCUACAUAUUAAUCAAAUUUUACGCAAAUUAUGAAUCAAAAAAUUUCAUAGAAAUUUAGAAGAAAAGGAAACGGAUGUUGCACAAUGACAGAAAUAGUACAGAAAUCUUGCUAACAAGUAAAAAGACACCUUAGAUCUAUAAAGAGAAGUUGUUUUUUGCAGUACAAACUACUACAUUCAUAAAUGUGUUAUCAAGAUAGGCAGAAACUUUGAGCUACAAAUAAAGUGAAAGAAUUGAGAGCCAAAAAGUGCGCAACUUACACAUGAAACAGUUUACUUCGAGUCCACCAAUGGCCAGAAUUGAAUACAAGAAUAUCCGAAUCAACCCACUUACUACUUAUCUCAUCCACCUUGUCCAGCUCGAGUAUCGCCCGGACCCUUCUAGGCCCGUGCUUCGGCGGCGAACCCUGCCGCACCAAGAACACAGAGCGGAAGAACUCCACACUAAGAUUAUAUCUCUCAAACCUAACACCCAAGAAGCGAACCGUCUUUGUGAUCUCACUCCCGUUCACCUCAUAAACGUUCCCUGGAUCUCCCACCCCACUCAUAAGCAUACAAAUCAAAGACUCCCACUGCGUCCGGCUCAUCGAGUCGCCCACGAAAACAACACGUUUCCCCCUAACCGAUUCGAGCACAUUAUGAGGACUAAACUUGGGCAAAUCGCAAUGCCGAGGCUUCCACCUCAAUUUAAGAUACCCACUAUCCUUUCUCCCAUUUGCCAAGCAAUUGAAACCACGCUCCGCAAAAGGGCAUUUUGAGCUAUUAUACAGCGGGUAUGAAUCAUCGAAAACCCAAUCACCAUCAAAUACAUCACAAAAACCCUUCUUGAUGAUGAAUCCAGAUAACAAGCUCCCCCUACAGGGGAAUCGACGCAAAUAGAGAUGGAUAACUGAUCCAAUAACUACAGCAGAAGAAACUAUGAAGAAGAUUAGGGCAAUAGAGUCAAAUACCAACCCCGAAACCCACGAUUUCCGAGUCCUACUCAUUUCCCCCCAAAUCCACGAUCAAACCUACUUAAUUGAAACAAGAAAUCGGCGAUAACAUACGAAACGAAGAGGAAAUUGGAGGGGAAAAGAGGCGUAACCGGAUUGAGGGGGCGAUUCGUUGAUGAUUCUUCCUUGUUUAUAGUCGAAUCGGAGAAACCCUAAUCCUAGAUGUUGAGAUCGCACGCGCAUGCACACACUCUUUCUCUUUCCCGCUCCCGCGCGCGAAGAAUUUGGCGGGGGCGCGGGAAGAGAGGGGUGGGUCCGGUUGGUAGUCCACCGACCGAGGGUAUUUUCGGUGUUUUACGAUUAGUUUAGUUCUUUUUCUUUUUCUUUUUUUCUUUUUUUUUUUUUUUUUUCUUUUCAGAGCCCACUGUAUCUGCUACGGAUUGAGGGAAGGGGAUCGCAAAAUAGAUAGUAUUUUCUAUGUGAGCUGAUUGUGUUAGUGGAGCACCCGGUAGUAGGGGUGUAAACGAGUCCAACACGAGCGAGCUAAGAUCGACUUGUGUUCAGCUCGUUUAAUAAACGAGUCGAAUAUGAGCUGACUCGUUAAAAUAUCGAGCCGAAAAAUUCAGUUCUUGUUCGGCUCGUCAAUAAACGAGCUGAACACGAGCUGGCUCACGAGCUGGCCAACAAACAAUAAGUUAAAAAAAUUAGAUUGAAUAUAUAUAAAAAAUAAUUUUAUAAAAUCUUAUUCAUUAGAUUUUGAUUUAAUAAUUGAAAUUUUACACAUAAUGAGUCCUUUUAUAAUUAAGCUCGUAUUUAUAUUGUUAUUUUGCUAAAAAUUAAAUAAUAAAAAUAUAUUAUAUAUAAUUAUUUAUUUAUAUAUAAAAAUAUAAAUUAUAUAAAUAUAAAAUAUAUGUAUUCGAGUUGUUAUCGAGCCAAACACGAGCGAGCUGACCCAGCUCGUGCAGCUCACUCGUAUUCGGCUCAUUUAGUAAACAAANGAAAAAUUCAUAUUCGGCUCGUUUAUUAAACGAGCGAUUCGAUUUCGAGUUUAUUUCGAGCUGAAUACAAGCUGGCUCGCGAACAGCGAACCGGAUUGCCACCCCUAUCCAGUAGUGACUAGUUUUUGAAAGAUUAUAUUAUAAAUAUUAGGACUGACUAGGCUAGUUUUUAUUAUGUUUUAUUUUCAUGAGAGGUGACGGUGUAUACAUUACGAAUCAUGUAUGCACAGUAUGAUUUUAUGCUAUAGUUUUAUUGAUGUCAGCUCUGAUAUUUAUUGUAGUAGAUAUUUAAUUAUAUUUUGCAGGUUUAGACGCAUCGUGUGCAUAGGGCUCUCCGUACAUGCGGUGAAUUUAUUGGUGCGCCCAAAUUUCUGCUGCAACGCGGGACGUGGCAGAUUAAAUUAAACACGAGCUAACAUCAUAAGUAAUGCAAUCUUGUAAGUUGUUCUACGUAGUGGUAGUUUAUUGGUUGGUACUAGGAAUGUAAAUGAUGCCCGAUCCGGCACGUCCUCGAGCCGGGCUACAGCGCGAUGCGAAUACUGUAGCCUCCGUGUCAGACAGACCCGGCCCAAGCCUUCUGGCCAUGUUGGGCCACUCCUCUGGGGCCCGACGAUCCAGCGCGGCACGGCUCGAAACGUGCUUGAACCGUACCGGGUCGAGAAGAGGCGGGUGGCCCGGUACAACACGGCUCGCUUGGGCCAUGCCAACCGGGCCAGCACGGCCCAGUCCCCCAAGGCACAAGUGCCUUAGGCCUUGGGGCCUAAGCUUCUAGGGAGAAGGGCAAAAGCUCUCCUCCCAGGGUCUAACCUUGGAAUGAGUGAUUUUGGUCCAAUAAACUAAAGAAUUUUGAUUCAUUAGAUCAAAAUCUCAUUUCAUUUUUUUUUCUCAAAAAAAAAAAAAAACAAAUUUAUUAAUUUUUUAAAAAAAAUAAAUAUUUACUAUAUUAUAAUUAUUUUUAUAAAUUUUUAACGAUUUAAUCAAAAUAUUAAUUUAAAUAAAAAUAUUUAUUAUUUAUAUUUUAAAUUUUAUACUAAAUUUUUAAAAAAAAUAUAUAAAAAUAAAUACUUUAAGAGCCCGGCCCGAAGCACGGCCCGGCCCGGCACAGCCCGUGCCUUCCAGGCCGAAGGGCCAUGCCGUACCGGAGGCUAGGCAGCUCGACUUGCCAUGGCCCAACCCAAAAUAGAAGCCGGGCCGUGCCAGGCCGGGCCGGGCUGGCUACUAGCCUGUUUCGGCUUUCAGUACAACCCUAGUUGGUACUAUCACAUGAAAAAUUCUAGAAUACAAUAGGUAUAUUGGUGACGUAGCGUAACAAGCCAAUCAAAUAUUUCGUUUUAGGGAUAUAUGUCCCAUCAUGAUUAUAAAAAAAUAUUUUUAUUAUAUUUUUGUUUGAAAAGAAAGAAUGUGAUUGACUUGUUAUUGAUGACGUGGUGCCAGUGUGAUAGUGUAGAAUUCCUCCUAUCACAUAUAUUGGACAACCUGGUUUAUAGAGGAUCCAUUACCAACCACAAGAAAGUUUGUUGACAAGUUAUUCCUUUUUUUUUUUUNUAUUCUUUUUUUUUUUUACUUUUACUGUAGCAAGUAAACUUCUAGAAAGGCCAUUAAUUGAAACAGUACUUAGUAAAUAAAGAGGCUACAGUUGUUUUAAUUUUAAUAUCAUCAUAUAUAUUAAAACUAAUUUUUGGAGGUAAAAAACAGAAGCUUUAAUUUAAAUUCUUCUUUAAGUGGCUCUACUCUCCAUUAAUUUCGAAAAUAGGAUUGUUAAUUAUUCCUUGAACAUGGUCAAAACAACAGAAUCAUAUAAAAAUGGUUUUUGAAAAAUUUCUUAAUAUAAUAUUAUUUAGUCGAAAUUCAUAAUCAUUCAACAUAACUUCAACUAAUUUUGAGGACUUAGUGAUGUUUGGUUUCUCAAAAAGUUGUGGAAAAACUAUUUUCUAAAAAAAAAAAAAUCAUGAAAAACAUUCUUUCCAUAGCAAAAAUCAGCAAAAAAAAAAGAAACCAGAAAAACUAGUCUUAUAAAUCGAACGAACUUAAAAUCAGUUUGCGAUGCAACUCAUCCAACCAUUUGUACUCUGCUCAUUUCUGUACCAAGAGAGGCUUAAAGAACAUCUAUGCGAAAAGGAACAUGCACAAGAAGAACCCAACAGAGGGAUACGAACAAAAACAUUGUGACAAAUCUCCCCGCAGAGAAUCGGUCUAAUCAACAAUAUCAUUGCUUUACGAUUCGUUGUGUCGAACGGCCGACUAAACCGUCUAUUAGUGGGAGGCUCCCCAUAUAUAAAUUUUUUUCCAAAAUAUACGUAGGGAUGAAGAAACUAAAAUUUACAUCAAUUCCGCAAAGCAUUCAACUUCCAGCUCUUAAUUGAUGGCUAUAGGGGUAAUUCUCUUCUUGGUAGGCUUAUUCGGUGCGGAGUUCUUGGUUGACGUUGAUGAUGGUUGUGUUCCUUCCCCGGCCUUUGAAUCUGUCUCCUUGUCGACUUUGCGCCCAAUAUCUUCCUUGUCGACUUCCAUAUUGUCCACCAUUUCAGGCUUCAGGCUGCUCAUAUUUGCAUUCCCUUCCACAGAUUUCUUUUCAUCUAUACCCCACAAAAAAAAAAGAAGAAAAAAAGAAUGAAAGAGAUCAUUUAAGGAUGAAGUUCAAUCAAAACAUCAAUUGCAACAAGAACCUAAUCGUGCUUCCGUGUUCAGCAAUUCACUAAGUAAAAAGAAAAUGAAAGUUAAGGAGUAAAAUGUGAUGGCAGUCCUCAAACCUUCAACAAAUUGCAAUUUGGCGGCUAUUAGUCAAUUUAAAGUAGAUUAGGAUGUACUCGGAUACCAUGUUAUGAAUAUCACGACAAGUGCAAUAACUAAACAGUUUAAGCUAAUUAUUGAGCGAAUUGCAACUCAUUGAAAGUUCAGGUAAUAGCCUGAGUAGAAAAAUAUGUAAUUUCUCCUAAGUAUAUAAUAUCUUUUGCCUGUCUAUACCUUACACUAAGAAUCUUACACAACAUUCCUUUUUCCUGUUCCCAUGAGCUUUCCUAUUAAUUUUGGCAAACCAAUGUCCUCUGAAUGUUAAUUGCUAUUAAGAGACUAAUUAUAGGAUUGAGGGGAAACGGUGAAGUCGGUCUAAUACACUGCCAUAAUAAGAGAAUAAGAGCAAAAUUGCACAGGGAAAUCAUGCACGACAAGCGUCAAAAGGUCAGUAGGUAUCUUCUCAACUAGCAUACUAGUGUCCUAUUUUGUCCUCAUAAAGUAAUAUGUGAUGUCUUCAGCAUCUUCACAACUUCAUCGAGCAUCUGAAGAACAAAAGCUUUAACCAUCAAAGAUUACCUGAGAUCGUAUAAGUCUGUCCAAGCUCGUCAUUCUCAAAUUCUAUAAUAGUACAAUACCCAUCUCGUGACGACAAUGCAAGGUGCUUCGCGUCAGACGACCUAGCAUGAGUAAAAUGGUAAAUCACUUUGGACCAAAAAAAUUAAAUUUUACAUACAUACCCCUAUGAAAUUAUGUUUAAAAUAAAUUAAUUACAUAUAUACCAUAAAAAAUAAAUACCCUACGACUAACAAAAACGCCCAUCUUAGAUAACUAUUUUUCGAUGACUCCCCAGCCUUAGAAAAGGGUUCUCUUUUUGGGGCUAAAAAACUGCAGUUUCCGGGAGUAUUUAUAAUGUUUCAGAUUUUAUAGAGGUAAUAUAUAUAAACAGAUUACUUGUGCAGAGGUGUAUGUGCAAAAGCCCCAGCAAAAAAUCAUCCACGGACCAAUAAAAGACAAAUUCAAAGUCCACAGAAAUCUUAAAAAGUGAAAAAAAAACAUUUGCUGCAGCAAGGCAUAUUGAGAAGGUACUGACCAAGUGAUAUCUGUGAUGGCUGCAUAGUGAAGUCCACCAAACACUGCUAUUGGGAGGGAGCUUUCGGUAUCGUAAAUGUAGAGAGAAUUCAAAGUAGCCACAGAAAAAAUCACUCUAUAAGGAAGCUUAAAGAAACCAUCUGCCAUUAUUUAAUACAGCUGAUUCAGACCCCAUAACAUGAUAAAAACUUGAACAACAUCAUGUUAAAAGGAACAGAAUAAGCUACAGUAUUUGUUAAGCCACCUGAUUUGGAACCUCGUAGAUUGAAAAGAACAGGGCAGAAUCGAACAGCCACAAUGGGUUUGUUAGCACCUGGGAGUUGUACCGCAGGCCUACAAAAUUAGAAACUACUACAUUUCAAAUUAUCUAUUUUACAUACAUCCUAGGAAAAUCUGAAUUUCUAUGUAUACUUCUUAAAAAGUUAAUUCUCAUGUAUGUAUUAUUGUACGUAAAAAAAAUUAUCCAUUUUCAAAGAACUUUUUCUAAUACAAAACCAACAAACAUACAUGAAUUGGAUGGUGCCCUAACUUAUAGGUAUUUUGCUAAAAAAUUGCAUAUUCCAGGUGCACAUAUAAAAAUUCAAAUUUGCAGGGGCGAAAUUUGCUAUGGCAGCUGGACUACAAGAAUGAGAUUGUGGUCUGUCCUAUAUGAGCUAACGCAUAAGGGCACAACUGGAGUUGAAAAUGCAGUGUAGUUCCAUUUACAAAGUGACCAACUAGAAUUGGAUUUACCGAUAGCAAUAUGUACAAGUGGUGUAAAGCAAGUGCAAUUGGGAUUUGAGAACUUGAAAAGUCCAAAUUCUUGCAUCCCCUUUGAAACAGGAUUUCCUCAUUCAUAGAAAUACUGAAACAUAUAGAACAUAGUUCUUCCAAGUAAUAUGGCGAGUAGAUUAAGAUGAACUUAGUUAUAUCUAAAAAUGUGCUAGUAUUGUUACCUUGAAAGAUCUCUCCUAGACAGUAUAUAAGCAGUGUUAAAUGCUUCCGAUGCAGAAGAACAUUUGUAUAUACCUGAAAAUUUUAUUUAGACAGAAUUUACAUCAGUGAAUAGGAUCAACAAAGGCAAAGAAUAGUGGUUCAAGUUGUGCAAUUGUUCAUUAAAAAGAAAAAAGGAGAAAAAGUAUGAAGGCUUUAUAAUGUUUCCCUUGCUCACCAAUCAUUCCAUCUAGAACUUGCAAAAUGCAAAUGAAAGUUAAUAUGUAACAAUUAAGCUGAAUCAAAUUAUCAAAUUAACAAAGGUUAGGUUAACUUGCUUGCUAGAGUAGAAGCCAGACAACGUACCAGUUGAACAGUCACUAAUGUGCAAUAUAUAACAGAAUGCAUAACAUCGAGGUAUACUCAAAUGUAUGAAUGAUCAAAGAGAAGCAAUUUUCAAACUCAUUAAAGGACAAAAUAUAUUGAUGAUAUGAUAAAAAUAUCGAAAAAUAUGUGCUAGUAAAACAAGUUUACACCUGUACCUGCCGGGACUACCAAAAAUGAUCCAUCAGGCGACCAUGCCAAUCGCCGGAAGAAGGAAGGCAAUGUUUCAUCAUGAAACAAAUGAGUUUUAGGUGGCAGAUGCUGAAAUAAAGAAGUUGCACAAAACAUUAUUCUUAAAUAUAUGACCAAAAAAUGCAACUAAUGACAUAGAUUGCAAACCUUUGAAUCAUCAAUAUUUUGGGGCUCAAACUUUGUCAGUGUAUAUUGGCACAUGAAGUUGAUUUUCUCAAAGCCUUUUGAUUUGGCUUGAGGCUUAUUUGCAUAUACCCGUAAAGUCCUAUCUGAGCUAAGUGAAGCAACAUACUGAUCCAAAGGAUCCCAGGCAACACCCUGAACAUAAUGCAAAUGGGCAUCUAAAAUUUGAUGGACUGAACCUGAAACAAAUUAUCCAUAAAUAAUAUGUUGUCAGGCAUUCCAUAAUCCAAACAGGAAAAAUAUAAUGGGGUCUUUUAGUUUGUUCCUGCAAAAGCAUCUAUUUACACAUAUACCCCUGAAAAACCUGGUUUCUAUAUAUACUCCUUCAAAGUGCAGUUUUCUACAAAGAUGCCCUUAUCUAAUUCAUGGGUGGAAGUUGGUUUUCUAUUGAGUACAAAGGGUAUAUAUCUAUGAAAUUACGUUUUUGAAGAGCAUAAUGCAAAUUCAGGUUCUGUAUGGAUAUGUGUGUAAGUAGAUACUUCAACAGGAGGACAUAAAUAUCCCAACAAAAUUUGCCUAUCAUUGAUACCUUUAUUAACAUCCCAUAUUAUGCAAGAGUUAUCAACUGAACCAGAAAUGAGGUAAGCAGCAUCAGCAGACCACUGAAGGUCAAGAACAUCCUUCCGAUGAAAUCUGAUAAAAGACAAAACAAGAAGAGUACAAUAACUCUUGCAAGAAAACAGUAUUUCCAUAGAUAAUUUUCACAUGGAGGAUCUUACAAUAAUGACUUGAGUACUUUCCAUGUAUGGCCAUCAUCUGUUGAAUGUAGUUUCCAGAGGACUAAUUCACCUCCUAAAAAAUUGAGGAAGAAACAGAAGCAUAACAAUUUAUAUUCUCCGACAAGAUGCUAAUUCUACAUAAAGCAUUAACUUAUUUUCAAAAAACAAAUAAUAAAAUGAUAAUAUGAUAAUAAAAUGAACCAAAACAUACCAUCGGCACCAGAUGCAAGGUAUUCUCCUGUAAAAAGAAAAAGGAAAUAGAAAGAGAUAGUCACUCUUCUGGCUAGACAUCUAAAGGAAAGGAAUCAAGAGAUUAGUUCAAAGCCUUAACAGAUAAUGAGACCGAGGAGAGGCGAUAAUAUAAUGCCAACACAGAUAAAGGGAGGGGAAAAAAGAAUAGCUAAUAUGUUUGUUUCUUCCACAAUGUACUCUUUAUUCAAAGCAAUUCGGGGUGCUGUUUCUUGUUUUAAAUAGGAUUCAGUAGAAGACCAGAUUUUGCCAAAUACUGAAGGCCCAAAAUUAAACAAUUAUGUGUGUGAAUUUUACUAUCUAAGAUUAUAUCUAAUAAUAGUAACUCUGUCUGCUUUGACAUAGUAAUUACUAAGUCGUUAAGAUGAAGCAAACAAUACAAAGGCAGUUAUGAAAGAUAUCACAACCCUCUUCAGUCUUGGUAUUUUCUCAUAAUAGUGUUUUCUACAACUAAACUCUUUCUCUAUUCGCUUAUUAUAUUAUGUUAUACACUUGACCAUAGCUAUAUAUGCACUUUAUUCACACAAUAGAUUCCAUAGCACUAUGAUAUGAAAGAAGCCACUAUCACAAUGCCACCAUAUAAAUUCUUUUCCUAACAUUAUCAAUUUUGUGCAGUAACAAACUGUUAGGAGCCGAAUUCCCUGGUCUUUGACUCGGUUAAAGACCUCUCUUGGGAAAAGUGUAGGGAUGCGGAACGGCUCCGAAUAAUGACCCUCGAAAUCUGCGCCCUUCGACUGGAUCAAACGAUUCGGCUGAUGAGGGAUCAUAUCAGCCAAGUUCGAAGACCUUUACUAUAGACUCGGUUCGACUGAAAGAGCCGAAUGUACAGAAAACAUAGGGUUUUGGGUCGGCUGAGGAGCGGAAUGCCUUUAUAUAUUGGAAUUAAUCUGUGAAACUAAUACAAAGGAUGAGUGUGCCUGGAGGCAUACAGACUCGGUUGAUCUAACUUAAAGUUACUCCUAGGAAAAACAGUAAAUGUGAGAAAGUAAAAGAUUACAAAUAGACUAGUUCUAGAAAAUGCGAGGACAAUGCAGAGGAAAUAAAGGUGGUCUUCUAUUCUCGGGAAAAAGACUUCUUUUCUGGGCAUUAUUUGCCUAUUUAUAGCCCGCCUCUGUUGGUCAGUUAUUGCCCCAUCCAUGAUCGGCCACUACCCUAUUUUUACGGGCUACUUCAAGCUGAUCAAAUCCGUACGUAACCACUUGCAGUUACUGUAACUUCUUGCAAUUACACCUGGCGGUUACUUAAUUUUAUUGUCAAUGCUCCCGGUGCACACCAAAAUCUACUUUAAUCCUCGCUCCUAAAGAUUUUGGGGUUGAAUGGUGCACCAGCAUACCACGUGGCCGCGCAUUAUUGGCCUAACACAAACAAAGCACCUUUGCCAAGAAAAUGCAUCAAAGCUAGCAGGAUGAAUCAUGCCUGAGAGUGUCAUGAAGAUCUGAGCAGUAUAGUAGAUAUUCUCAGGUUAGUUAAAUUUACUGAUAAGACUGAUAUCUUCAUCCACAAUACUAAAAAUGAAUUUUUGCAGAUCGCAAUCACUAGUCAGAAUAUUUCUUCCCCUUCAAUCUCAUUCCACUUUACAGAGUGGACGAUAAUAGCAUAUAUUGCAAACCAAACAAGACUGAUAGAUCAUCAGCACAUGGUAUGCUCCAUUUUGUAGGAAGAGUGCACUUAGUUUUACUAUCCAAGUUGAAUAUUAACCCCGAUAAAUGGGCCAAUUACAAAAGGGUCAUUCAUAGUCAACAGGACUCUACGGAAAUACCAAUCAGACUGGAGAUUAAUAGUUAUGUUAUGUAGAAAUGGGGGGAAAAAAAUGUUUUAAAAAUGUAUUUGCCAGAAAAUAUCAUUUCUUUUAUAGUUGAUCCUUUGGAGAGAAAACUCAAACUCUGAUAAAAGUUGAUAUGAUUUGGUACAUGCUCUCACCAGAUGGGGAGAAUCGGAGUGCAUUUACAGCAGAAGUAUGGUAUGAAAGGCUGUUUUGAUAGGAAGCUGUUGGAAGUUUCUUCUCUGAUUCUUCUGAAGCUAUAGACCAUAUCUGCAGACAAAGCGAAGAUAGACCACUAAUUAAUUAUAUAAGGAAAAAACACAAUAACAUCAUACUGUAGAGUCUUCAGAUAAUCUUAGAAAAAUAAUGAUAGGGAGGAUUAACAAAAGUUGGCAGAAUAUUUAGCAUGAAAGAUAAGCUAAUGUGAGCUAGGAUGGGGUGCUAUUAAUAGCACUGAGCCUUUUGUGCUGUAGAGUCAUUUUCAAUGCUAGGGCAUUCGUUUUGACGAUCAAUGCCGUUAAACAUGAUAGCGUGUUUGAACUUCAUAGAUUCUGAAUUUUUUUUGUAACUUUUCAACACCAUUUACUAAGUAAUCAAGCGGUCACAAAAGUGACAAUUUAAUGGCUUUUAUGAGCUGCUUUCUAGUUUAGCUAUAUAGAAACAAUCCACAUUGGUUGAAUUUUUUAGAGAAAUUUUUUUUUCUUUAGGAUAAGAUUUAAAACUUCAAUCUUGAAUUUGAAAUUUCGAUCCCCUAUUUCAGAAGGUUGUUCAGUUUUGACCCUUCAUUUUCUAGCAAGUUGAUGAACUAGAAAAUGAUUUUCAAAAAUCACGAAAUUUGGAUCCCAGAAUGUGCAAAUAUCGUAAAUCAUUUUUAACGCUAUUGAUUGUCAAACUGGAUGACCCAUCAUCGAAAACCAGUCUAUAGCACGAAGGCUUGGUGCUUUUAAUACCACAGUAGCUCAACUAUGCUAGUAGAUCCUAAUAAGAAGCACAAUUCUGCUAAUUCUUUGUGACGGCCCAUUAGUCCCACAUCGAAUAAUAUGGGAGAAUAUGGAGGGUAUAUGACGAGCAUACUAGAACUAAUAACUGAGCUUUAGCAUUUUUCGCUGGUGGUUGAUGGUUUGGGCCCAACAAGUUAUUAAUGUUAGUGGGCCAGAUCGUUACAUUAUCUACAUUUUCAGAAGACAUUUGCUAUAACACAUCACGUUAACAUUUUUAUUAUUGAACCACUAAUACUCCACAAUUUGAGUAGACCCAUUUGCUACAAAACAUAGAAAUAGCAUCUUUAUUAUAGAACUACUAAUACUCCACAAUUUGAGUAGACCCAUUUGCUACAACACAUAAAAAUAGCCUCUUUAUUAUAGAACUACUAAUACUCCACAACUUGAAAAAAAUGCAUUUGCUGGAACACAUCAAACUAGCAUCUUUAUCAUAGAACUACUAAUACUCCACAAUUUAAGAAGAUUUUUUUGUUGUAACACAUCAAAAUAGCAUCUUUAUCACAAAACUACUGAUACUGCACAAUUUGAGAAGACCAUUUGCUAUAACACAUCAAAAACGGCAUCUUUAUCACAAACUACUAAUACUCCACAAUUUGACAAGACCCAUUUGCGACAACACAUCAAAAUCGCAUCAUUAUCACAGAAUCAAAACAACGGGAGGCGAAAUCAAAGAGGCGAAAGGUAAACUCCCACCUUGAUAUCGUGAUCGCUUCCCCCGGUGGCGAGAACCCGAGACUUCGGGUGGAAAUCUAGGGUUAGGACCGGGUGGGCGUCGUGCCAAUUGAUCUGAACCGUCCCUCCCUUCAUCCUCCGCCGCUACCUAGAUCCCUCUAGGGUUUCUUCCACCUUCGCCUCGAGCUCUCGUCCGAUCGGAGCUUAGACGAGGAGCUAGGGUUUGGGUAGCUUUGGGGAUUUUGGGCAGCGGGAGGGAGAUUUUGGCGCCCUUUUCCUGGGAUUGGAGGCGGGAAGGAGAGAAAGGGUGACAAGCGAACCGGCAGUGAGAAUAAAUAGUGAGAGUUCUCAGUCACGUGAUGCUCACGAGGAGACGCCCAGUGGUAUAAAUUGCACCACGGUCCCUAACCUUUUACCUUUCUCACCUUGGAUCCUAAUUUUUUUUUCUUUUCUAGUAGGACACUCGUCUUGACACCAAUCUUGAAAUUGGUGGAUACUUUGUAAAUAUUAGUUUUGAAAUAAAUGUGCCACUUAGUUUUGCUAUAAAUUGUCUUUUUGUUUUGUUAAAAUGAAUUAUUAUAGUAUAAAAUAGUGUGUGUAUUUUAGUAUUUCUAGAAGUGUCUUUUAAAUUUUCUUUGAAAAUUAUAAGUAGGGCUGGCAAAUGAGCGAGCCGGCUCACGUUGGACUCAUGUUCGACUCGAUAUUUGGCUCGCUUGAGCUCGACUCGAAAUUAAAUGAGCCGAGUUUAAACAAAAAAAAAGGCUCGAAAUUUAUUUCAAGCCGAGCUUGAGCAUUAUUCGGCUCGUUCGAAUUAGACUCGAAAAGCUCGAAAAGCUCGAAUAUAUAUAUAUAUAUAUAGUAGAACUACUGUGCUAUCGAAAGUAUAGAAGAUCUGGUACUUUCGAUUUUUUGAUUCUUAGAUCAACCCCUUUAAUCAUUUCUUAUCUUUGGAUUAAUACUAUUAUUACAUUGUAGGAACCACUCAAUCCUAGGGGUAUUAUUUAAUCCUAGGGGGGACCGCAAUCAUCUCAACCAUAUAAUUUUGCAUAUAAUUCUUAAUCAAAAGGUCAAAAAUUCGAAAACAUCAAAUUCUCUAUAUUUUUUAUAGCAUAGUAGUUCUACACUAUAUAUAUAUAUAUAUAUAUAUAUAUAUAUAUAUAUAUAUAUAUAUUUUAAUUAUAUAUAGGCUGANGACUAAAUAAUCUCAGUUUAGUUAAAAUUGGGCAAAUAUUGUUGGCCCAUAAAAACAAAUCCAAUAAACAAAUAAAAGAGCAAAAUUUUACUAAAUUUAUACAUUUUUCCUUUCUUUCUUCAGAGCUCUAAAUUUUCAAUAUGUUUCUCUCUUUUUCUUUUUCUGUCUCUCACCCUAAGUAGCCAAGCCGGAGGCCCUCCAAGUUACCAAGUAACAGCAUAUGCCCGUCAUUGCCUACCUUUCUAUUAAUUGUAUGCUUGAGAAAAUAUACAUAAUAUUUUUAAAAUAAAAAAUUAUUAUUCAUAUAAAAUUUUAAUUUUAGUUAUAUAUGAUUGGAUAGUUUAAUCCAAUAUUUAUCUAUAUAAUUUAUUUAUUUUUGACCGCAUAAAUGAAAAUGAAUAAUAUGGAGAUUGAAGGUGGAAGAUAAGACAUGUGAGGCUGAAAAGAUUAGAUAUUCAAGUCAUAAAUUAUCUUUCUUCAUAUUAUAAUACUAUAUUUUAUAUAAUUAUUUUGUACUUUGAACUAUUAGAUAUAUUUUUGUAUCAAAUUAUAGAUAAUUUUCUAUACAAAUUAAACUAUUGAUUGUAUGAUGUUGGGAAUUUCAAGCGGCUCGUUUAGGGCUCGAGCUCGCUCGACUCGAAAUUAGGCUCGCUCGAGCUCGGCUCGAAUUAAUUUCAAUCCAAGCUUGAGCUUAAAUUUAGGCUCGAAAUUAAUUUCAAGCCGAAUUUGAGCCGAGGUAAGCUCGCUCAAGCUCGGCUCGUUUCCACCCCUAAUUAUAAGUGAAUUAAUGCGUAUGAAAGUUGAAAGGUGCUUUGUAAGUUUAAAUAUAUAUAUAUAUAUAUAUAUAUAUAUAUAUAUAUAUAUAUAUAUAACAAUUUUAAGAUGAUAAAUAAGUCAAUUUGAGUUGAAGUUUCUAUUUUUAUUGGAGAAGAGGGAUUUCUUCUUGCUUAUAUUUCUUAAGUGAAUUUCCUGUGAGAUAAGAGUGUUAUUCAACUAUUAUGUUGGUGGAUUCUGCAUAAUGGUGAGUGUGCUUUAAUUUGACGUGGUGGAUUCUAUGGUGGGUCGAGUGUUUAUUGAGUCGUAUUUGUUCUAUUUUCGCAUCCCCUCUAAGUUCCGACGCCAUAUCUUUAUAUUUUAUUAUUAUUAGAUAUCAUUAAUUUUGACAUAAUAAGUCACGUAAAUUUUAAAAAUCUCAAUUAUAGUCUGAUAGGCUUCGAUCAAUUUUAUCAUAAACUUAUUCAAAAUUCUAAAAUAGAUUAGUGGCUUACUCAGUUUGAUUCUAUAAGCUCGAAUACUUUAAAAGACAUAGUUUUCGAUCGAUUUUGUGUGUGAGGUUGAGGUGGUCGUUGGUGCAGAGAAUGACAUUGGAGAUGGUGAGAAUGAGCUCGUAGCGAUGGGCACACAAUUAUGAGAAGAGACUAAGAAUUUAAAAAAAAAAGUUAAAAUUAACAAAAUAUUCCUAUCAAUAUCCGUUUUUUCAUGUUUUCCUCAUGUCAUUAAAAAACAUACAGUUUAAAAAAUAUUUAGAGGGAGAUACGGUGUGACAAAAUAACCAAAUUGUCUUCAUAUUUUUCAUCUCCUCUCCCAUCCUCCCCCCAUUCUUGCUCAUCCCGGCGGCGAAGGAGGGUGAGGGCGUGUGUCUGGGCAUGGAUCGAGAGGUGGGCGAGAGCGAGGCGGCGGCCGAGGGCAUGGAUGAGGGUGUCAGAAAUAUUUUGGGUGUAAAAAAUAAGAUAUAAACGGAACCCUAACGAAAUGCUGACGGCGGGAGCUGAAAUGAACAUUUUUUAUUUUUCAAAUGAGUAAAGUGUAGAUUUUUAAAUAACAGAAGGAAAAGUUAAAAAGCGGACACAAAUUUUAUGUAAUUUAGUAAAAAAAUAAGUAAAGAAUAGAAACUAAUGGUGCAAAAACCUAGACGAUAAGAAUAUGAUUGUGAAGAAAAAAGGAAAAAGAUUGGAAAGAGUAGAUGGGAUUAGACCAAUGUCUUCAUCUAUUAAACUAUUUUUUAUUUUUUUAAAUUCUUUCAGACUUUAAGCAUCCCACCCCACUACUCUAACCAAACAAAAUACUAUUUUACCUACUAUCCUUCUUAUCCCAUCUACUCCAACCAAACACUAUUUUAUCAAUACCUGGACUAAACCCAAUUCUCAACCAAAUACAAAAUUAGUCUAACUCCAUCUUAACCCUGAACUUAAGCUUAUCUUUAAAAUAAUUAAUUUUUACUUAAUUCCGAACCAAGCGGUUAGAAAACAAUUGUAUCUUAUAACUUAGCAAAUAGAAAACCCUUGUUUGGGCAUCAUUUGAGAGGCUUUCACAAACCCGAUCCACUUUCCGUGAAACAUAAAUUAUGGUGGAAAACUACAUGUUUUGAAAUGUGCUACAGGUGAGGGGCUCACCAUAAAUUUUCCACCUCUCCCUGUUGCCCACGAGGAAUUCUACACUGUCAUACUUGCACCAUAUCAUCAAUAACAAGCCAAUUAUAUCCCUUUUUUUCAAACAAAAGUAGAAUAAAAAUAUUUUUUUACAAUCAUUACGGGACAUAUAUCUCUAAAAGUAAAAAUUUGAUUGAUUUGUGACGCCACGUCACCAAUGGACCCGGUGCAUUCUAGAAUUUUUCGUUGCCCAACCAAAAAGCUCCCCGUCGAUUAAUUCUCCGUAGAACCGCUUUAUUUAUAUUUUAUACUCCGGUGGAUCGUUCGAUUCUUCUUCUUCUUCUUCAGCUUCCCACACUCCACCGUCUCCUUCUCCGGCCCCAACCCCUUCCCAUCAAUGCGGAGCCGGAGCCCCUUCUCCUCCUCGUCCCCCACCUCCGCCGCCGCCGACGAGAGCCACCACCCCCACCACCCCGCGCCGCCGCCGCCGCCGCCGUGCACCCGCCUCCACCAGAUCGGCGCCGUCGCCCUCGUCGUCGCCACCUUCCUCCUCACCCGCUCCCUCGAUCGCCUCUCCUCCUCCCCCCUCCUCCCCGCGCCACAAACCACCGCCACCGCCUCCUCCUCCUCCUCCGACGCGCUCUUCGACGGCGCCGGCGCCCUCGCGUGGCCCCAGCGCGGCUACGGGCCCCGCCUCGACCUCCGGAUCUACGUCUACGACGAGGCCGAGAUCGACGGCCUCCGCGAGCUCAUGCGCGGCAGGGACGGCCGGAUCUCGCCCGAUUCCUGCGUCAAGGGCCAGUGGGGCACGCAGGUGUAAUUCUUGGAUCUUCUCCCUCGUUAAAAAUCUAUAGGAUGCCCCUUCUCUUGAUUCAGAUGUUGCUUUAGAUCGUUUGUUCACUUCAUAUUAACUGAGUAAUGCAUAGUUACUGAAUAAUGCUUGUUACUGGUGAAUCACUCGAACUCUUAUUGUAAGAUGCUACAGAAAAUCAGUUGUUUCACAUGGUAUAGUUCUUAGAACUCUAUCAAAUAAAGAUCUAUAGAAUGUUGCUUCUCUUUUGUUUGGAUGUUGCUCGGCUACUGGUUAGAUAGUGUAAGGAAUUAGGGCUUUUGGUGGGAAAUUACUUGAAUUAUUAUCAGUUAGGUUUUAGGGCUGCUUGAUGUCCGGUAUAAAUAUCGUGUGACAUGCUGAUGCGGAAACUUUCAUGUAUUUCCGCUUAUUUUGGUAAUUUUCCUUGUCAGAAUGUUCAAAUUGUGAUGCUUCUCAAAUAAUGCUUAAUAAUAUGCUUGCUGCAUUGCUUCAGUUCUCAAUAUUUGUCAACUUUUGUAUUAUGCUAAGGGUUUGGAAGAGUUUUGCAAUCAUUUUAGUUGCAUUUCUUCAACGCUGCUCGUAUUUUUCCAUUGAAGGGUCAACCGCUUCUGCUCUGUUUCUUAGCCUUUCCCCUUUUGUGUGUUUCUUUUAGGUCAAAAUUCAUCAGCUAUUUCUCAAAUCAAGGUUUCGGACGUUAAGUAAGGAUGAGGCAGAUUUCUUCUUUGUUCCAGCUUAUGUUAAAUGUGUUCGGAUGAUGGGUGGAUUAAAUGAUAAAGAGAUCAAUCAGACGUAUGUGAAGGUAAAUUUAUAAUGUUGCUAUCUUCAUCUGAAUUUUCAAUGCUUAGUAUCAAAUUAAAUGCCGAUAGGGUGCUUAGCAUUCUACAAAUUGUGAGAUACUUCUCUAUUUGAUGUGUGAUGUUUGGGUCAUGUUUCUGUUGCUUCGUGUAGAAAUAAGUGGGGCUUCCUUAUAUCUUAUGGCUUACUUCAUUACAUUGUUUUAAUUGGAGUAGCUUCUAAAGAAUGCCAUAUUGAACCUGCUUAUAGUUUUCCUGUGGAAUUUAGGUUCUAAGUCAGAUGCCAUAUUUCCGUUAUUCAGGAGGACGUGACCACAUUUUUGUCUUCCCUAGGUAUCAUCUUAUCCACUUGUGACACGAUCAUUCAUUGUUAUGUCCUCUCCACAUAUAACUUGCAUGUUCUCGUGGUCACUAUCUCAUGUAUUUCGCAUGUGCCGAAUAUUCAUUUUUUAGUUAUGUAAUCAUACCUUUUCUUAUGAAAUGCAGUGGUGCUGGCGCUACGUUAUUUCGGUCCUGGGCAACAUUUUUAAAUCGUUCUAUCAUUCUUACUCCGGAGGUAUCACAUCAAUUCAACACUCUAUCAUUCUUACUGAUCUUUGUGUCCACGAGUUGUUUGCACGUACGCAUCCCAGCAUUUGUUGGACUAUUUUCUCAGUGUAGAAACUAGUAAUUGAAGAAAGAUCAUGGGGAUUUAUGUAAUGCAACAUAUAGGUCGUUUGAUGCCAAAGUGAGCUUUCUUCAUAAAUCGAGCAGAAUUAUGAAUUGAAAUGGUCUGAGAAUACAUGAUGACCUUGGUAGUAAUAAAGAGGAAAAGCUUAAAUAGAACUAAAUGGUGGGAAACUACACAGAUUGCUUAGAUUCUUGUCGCACCAUACUAGGACUCAUGGUUUGAAUAGGCGUGCUUAGGCACUUAGGCUUAAGGCCGCAGGCACCUUGGCACUUAGUUUCAAGGCACCAAGUUUGCACCUUGGGGCUUAAAAAUGCGCCUUGACCUAGGUGUGGGCCUUGGCCUAGGCACAAAGUCCCAAUUAGUGCCAUCCAGCUAAGUUACAAGUUUCAAGUGUCGAAUGUGGAUUUUGGAUGUCUAUCUACAAGAGUGUAGAGACCCCAAAUGCAGGUCUUGAACGUGUAGGUACAUAGUUAAGCUAGAGGCUUGAUGAUUUGUGAUUUUUUGCAUUCUUAAUGUACCAAUAUGCAUCAACUGAGUGAUGAUUUUUUUUUAUGGGAAUUUAGUUUUGGUACUCUGUUAUUUUUUUGAAUCCUAACUUGCAAUUUCUUUUUGUGAUAUUAAUAUAGCCUUUUGAUGAGUUUUUAUAUUUAUUUUUUAAUGUCUUCCUCAAGUGCAUGCCUUGCGACUUCCGUGUUGAGUUUUGCCUAGGCUUUAAGAGCCCUUGCAUCUCGAUGCGCCAUGUGCCUAUUAAAACUAUGCUAAGACUACAAUGUGAUAUUUCUUAUUCUAUGAUUUUAUGCCUUCAUCAUAUUUGUAUAUUAUAUAGCAUGUUAUGCUUGUAGUUAAUAUAAACAUUGAUUUAUCACCACAUGGAGAUGGCUGCCAUCAGACAUCCUGAAUGUGUUUGUAUUCAGAUAUUACUUGUAAGAACUAUGACCAUAACUAGAGUUCAUGCAAUUUUUUGUGUUUCAAAAAAAGUUAAUGUAUACCGCAUGAUUUUCAUUCUCUCCAUUAUUUAAUUCAUAUUAUUUAACCUUUUCUUUUAUUUGCAUAUAUUGGCCAUGAUAUUUCACAUUGUGUGAAGCUCUGCCUGUUAUAUAUCCCAGGCAAUGAUUUUGACAUUUCUUGAGUUAUCUGGUGUUUUUUUUUAGGGUGACCGGACAGAUAAAAGAGAUAUGAGUGCUUUUAACACAUGGAAGGAUAUUAUUAUCCCAGGUAAUGUUGAUGAUGGGAUGACAAAGUUUAAUGGGCCGUGCUUGGUCGAACCAAUCCCUUUAUCAGAAAGAAAGCACUUGGCAAACUUUCUUGGACGUGCACAGGGUAAGGCUGGUCGUCUCCAGUUGGUGGAGCUUGCCAAGCAGUAUCCUGACAAGGUUAGGCUUUAUUACCAUAUUUUCUUUUUUAUUUUAAGAUGAAAAUAAAAGUUGUAAAGUUAUUUCAGAAGUUCUUUCAUAUAAUUGUUUGAAGUGGUUUUGUAACGCUCAAUUUGCUUGUGAUACUGUUUUAUAUUGUUUUACUUCCGUUCCUUCAGACCGUAUGCAAUAUUGAUUUUAAAUACAGUUGGAAUCUCCAGAAUUGAAGUUUAGUGGCCCUGACAAAUUGGGGAGGAUUGACUACUUCAAUCACUUGAGGAAUGCAAAGUUUUGCCUAGCUCCACGUGGCGAGUCAUCGUGGACUCUUCGCUUUUAUGAAGCUUAUUUUGUGGUCUCUCUCUCUCUCUCUCUCUCUCUCUCUCUCUCUCUCUCUCUCAACCUAGCCAUUUCAGAGAAUUCACUUUCAUUUGUAUUUGUGCUGUAUAAAAUAGCUAUUUUGUGAGAGAAUUUAAUUUAUUUUUCUGAUUUUGCAAGAUUGUUCCACUUUUUUUGUUCUUGCAACUUUUUUUUUAAUGGACCAAUACACCUCUGACGGAAAACCUCUCAUUUAUCUGUCAGAAGGAAGGUUCAGAGUAUUUUAGUCAAUAAAGAAAGAUUUAGGUUCAAAAUUCCAGAAAUAAAAUAAGUGGAUUAAAGUUGCAAAAUCGAAAAAAUCUUGGAUUUUUUUUGCAUAAAAACCUAUUUUAUUUCUAGAAGCUACUAAAUUUGCAUUUUGAGCUCAAAACAACCUCCUAAUCAACCAUAGAUUUCUGCCAUGUGGAUGACAGGAAUGCGUGCCGGUCAUUCUGUCGGAUCAAGUUGAACUACCUUUCCAGAAUGUGAUCGACUACAGCCGAAUGACAAUUAAGUGGCCAUCAACUCGAAUAGGCCCCCAACUUCUCGAAUACCUCGAGUCAAUACCUGGUGAGUCUUCUCAUGUUUCCACCUAGGGAAUAUUUAGCCUGCUAGAGCAUGUGCAUAAGAGCUAUUUGAGUAAAACUGUUAAAGAAGUACCAAUAACUUCUAAUUGAAUCUCCUCAAGAAGUUCUUUAUGCAAUAGAAGCAAAAGUUUCAAUCCGAAGCUUUUGCUUUCGGAGCCUAAAAGCUCGUUUUAGCAUCCUGCAACUAUAGAAUCUCCAGACUUUAGCCAAGAGGCUUUGUGUUUCACCCAACUUAGCUUGCAUGUUUUAGAGUAGAGAAGCUUUUAUAGCAGCUAAGCCAUAAUGGGUUCAUGACUCCACUCUCUCUCUCUCUCUCUCUCUCCUGAUACCAUAAUUUUUACCAUGUCAGAUGAAGAAAUAGAGAAGAUGAUAGCUCGGGGCAGAGAGGUGAGAUGCUUAUGGGUUUACGCCCCAGAAACUGAGCCGUGCUCGGCUAUGGUAGGAAUACUGUGGGAACUGCAGAGAAAAGUCAGGAGAUUCCAUCAAUCCUCUGAAACAUUCUGGCUUCACAAUGGAUCGAUUAUCAACAGAGAUUUGGUCGAGUUUCACAAUUGGAGAACACCUGUGCCUUUGCCCUGAUAAAUUUUUUUACAGAGCUGUAGAUUCUCUUGGAUUAGAUAGAUUUCUCUUUGUUACCCUUUUUUGAAUGAUAUUUUUGUGCUUAAAAAGCUGUAUCUGUCCACAGCCUUCUUCUUUUUCAAAGCCCUGGCAUUUCUUUCUGAGGAUUUGGUUUAAUUAGCCUGCUGAGUUCAGAAUCUCCUUCUUGAAACAUGUUUCAAUCAGAGAAAAGAUAGAGCGCUUGGUGAUAGUUGUCGUGCUAGUACUGUAAUUUCUUCUUUUUUAAAAAAAUUUGAAAGAUUAUUAUAAAAUCUUAGCAAGUUUUGCCUCCUCUAGCUUAAGGUGAUGAAAUCGCUGAUGGAGCUACUCCGGAAAGAGUGCUUUCGUAUAUGAGUACUGUAACUUGUUUCCAUUUUUUUCAUCAGCCCAUGUCUCGCCGGCACUGUGCUUCUGGUUUUGUUUUUUUCAAUGCUUCAAUGUGUGUGUCUGUUUUCAUGUGGGCUCAUUUUCAUUGUAUGUUGUUGCUUUACAAUGCUUUUGUUAGUUUAUUAGUCUUGAUGCAUGCAGAAAGUAUCUUGCGAGUAAGAAUUUUAAGUGUCGUGAUACGGGAUCGUGCUAGAAGCUUAUCGAUAUUGUACGGCACGGUGUGUGCUAGUUAUGAAAAAUACAUGUGUGCCGACACAUAAUGGUAUAAGAGAUUUAUUUUAAGUAGUAAUAAAAUAUGUCAAUUAUUUAUUAUAUAUUUUUAUUAACUUUUUGAAUUUUAUUGAGAAAAUUAUUUAUUUAUUUAUAAAAUAAAGGAUUUUGAGUUGUGUCAUCGGCAUGUGAGUUAUAUUGUACUGAUAUCUGACAUGAUACGGUAAGAUGGAUGCGAUUCGUAACGAUAGAUAUUUAAAUCCUUACUUGCAAGUAUGCCUCCAGAUUUGUUCGUGCAAGUAAAAGUGAAGAUGUGCUCAUUUUUGAAAACGAGGAUUGAUCUACUCGUCGUCUUCCUUAAAUAGGAAGAAAAUGAAAUGCGAGGAAACUUAAAAAGAAAAAAAAUUGUAUUUAUCGGUUAAAAAAUGUUGGUGACGAUAGUUUAAAUUUUCAAAAACAUAGUUUAUCGUUUACGAGUCCAAAAAUAAAUAUCAACAGUAUUCCUGAGUCGAACGAGGGACUUAAUUUGAAAACAAAAGAAGAAUACUUGAGGCCUACGUUUUGAUAAAUUCUCGUUGCGUGUGAUGACGUGGCAAACCACUAAACCCAUCUCGACCAAUAGGAAUUCCCUUCAAGGGAAGUGGGCCCCACGGGUUCGUCAUCUUCAAUCCGCACCGUCCAUCGCCACUCCGUCAAAACACCUCCAAUCCCAACCGUCCAUUCUCUCUCCUCCCGUCCCCGACUCCCGAAUAAAACGCGAAACCCCCUCCAAACCCUCGUCUCUCUCCGCCCCCUCCUCCCCCACCUUUCUCUCUUUCUCUCUCUCUCUCGAUCAACAAUGGCGGAGGGAGCCGAAGCCGCGGCGGAGGCCAUCGCCUCUCUCUCCACCUCCGACGCCCCAAGCAAGAAGUAAACCCUCUGUUUCCUCUCUCUACUGCGCCUUAUCUCUCUCUCUCUCUCACACUCUCUCUCUAACGCACUUUCUCUCUCUUUUUCCCGUCGUUUCUAGCGCCCUCAAGAAGGAGCUGAAGAAGAAGCAGAAGGAGGAGGAGAAGAGGAAGAAGGAAGAGGAGAACAUGAAAAAGAAGGUCCCUUUCUAACCCUACGCAUCUUUUCUCCCCAUUAAAGAUGUCACCUUUUGCUGCUCAAUUUCGUGUGGAUUUGGACCGAAAUUCGUUGUAUCCUGUCUCUUCAGGCUGCCGAGGCGGCGAACCCGCAGUCUCAGAAGGCGUUGGCGGCCGCCGAUGACGAAGAUAUGGACCCUACGGUUUGUUCUUCGAACCUAUAUUCUGUAUAGGUGAAAUGGUAGAAACCUUAUUUGAACUAUAGCGCAUUUUGAGAUUGGUGUUUGAACAUUUAAGAACUUUUAUUUUACCAAAUGUCCCAACUUGUUAUUGACUUUUCUACUGAGUAUUCAGUUCAGGUAUCUAUUUCACAAAUCAUAUUAGCUUAUCUGUUAGAAGAAAACCUCUCAGUUAUAAUUGUGUUGGUGAUUUUGAUCCCUGAGGUAGUGCCAGGGAUAGCCAUGGGAAUAGCACAAUUCCACCAUGCGGCAUGGAAUUGAUAUCCCAAGGGAUAAACUUGCUAUUGGGUUAUCUCUCGCCAAACAAUUUAGUGUUUGGGGAUGCUAUCCCCGCCCUGUUCGCCAACCAAACACUUCCUUGAGGUUCAGGUACCCAUUUCAAAAAUGCUUUAUAUUUAAGGUAAGGUAUGUACGUGGGUAAAUUGAGAUGCAUAUAAUCUGUUUGAUAAAAUGCCUCUGAUUGUCAUUGGUGGUGGCAGCAAUACUAUAACAAUAGGCUCAAGGUGCUUAGUUCUUCGAAGGAGGUCGGUGUUAACCCGUACCCGCAUAAGUUUCAAGUGUCCAUGACAAUUGUGGAAUAUGUGGAGAAGUAUGGAAGUUUGAGUGAUGGGGAGCACCUUAAGGAAGUUGAAGUUAGUUUAGCAGGUAGAGAUGCAGUGUUUCAUGGAAUGUUUUCUCAAAUGAAGAUGGUGCUUCUUUGCAUGCUUUUCUUUUUACUGUUUUCGAUGGUAAAAUCUUUUUUUUUUUUUUUCAAAAUCUCUUGUAGGGAGGAUUAUGAACAAGAGAGCUUCUUCGUUAAAGCUUUUCUUUUAUGACUUACAUGGCAGCGGGGCUAAAGUUCAAGUGAUGGCAGAUGCCAGGUAUCAAUCACUUACUUGGGCCAUCUUUCUGUGGCAUCUUUUCUUGAUGAAUUUAUGAAAUGUUAUUCUCUUCAUUACAGCACUAGUAUUGUUAGAUCAGAGCUGUCCUUCUAAGGAUUGCAGUAGUUUGAAUUGAUUGGGCAGGCUUUCUCCUUUUACAAGCUGGUUUCAACACUUAUCAAAUGGCAAAACUUAUAACCUUUUGUAUUAAUACAAACCUUUUUAGCAUGUAUCAAUUUUUUAAAGAGGGUAGGGUGCAUACGUAAAACCAAAAGGUGAACAGAAUAAAUGUCAUAAUUGCUUCUAAUUCCUUGUCAAAUGAUAUCAAGAAAGCAAUCUACUGGACAAUAUUAUUAUUUGUUUUAUAAAAUAUUUUACUUGGUAUCUUUUCAAAAUUUUUAUUAGGGACUCUGACAUGGAUGAAAAUGAAUUCUCCAAAUACCAUGCUGGUGUCAAACGUGGUGAUAUUGUUGGCAUCACUGGCUAUCCAGGUUAGUUAAUUAGCGUCAACAUUCUUGCAGUAAUUUUAAGCUUCUUUUCUCGAUUGACAUUUUACCCCUUCAUACUUCACUGAUGGUGUCAUCUAAUCAGUCUGCUUGUUAGUCUGUUUUUGUUAUUAUGAGAACAUAACAUCUUGAUCUGUCCUUGUGAUUUGUCAUGCUGAAGUAAAGAGGCAUAAAUUUGUCCAGUGAGACAGUAGAAUAAAAUGUUUCUGGGUUGACAAAAUUUAUUUAUAUCUGAUUCAGGAUGCUUUAAGUAGUAAUUCAUGUUUGCAGGUGCAUUAUUGUUAAGUUGCUGUUUCUGUGCUACAGGUAAGAGUAAGAGAGGAGAACUCAGUAUUUUCCCCAAGAAGUUUAUUGUCUUAUCGCCUUGUCUUCACAUGAUGCCAAGGCAAAAGGCUGGCCCUAGUGUUGCUAAUGCUUCCGCAAAGGUGAGCAUAUGAGCAAAGAAAUAAAAUCACGUUGUGGCUUUGAUCCAUGCUGAAAAUAGUUGAUCUCCUGCUCUUAUUUCCUUAAAUUGCACUUUGACCGCAGAAAAAUGAAGAAAGACCAACACCUUAUGUGUGGGUUCCAGGAAUGACUAGGAAUCCUGAGACAUAUGUUUUAAAAGAUCAGGUAUAUGACUCAACUUUAUGAGUACAAUUACAAACUGAAAUGAGUAUAGUCUAUAUAGGUUUAAAUUAUUUAUAAUUUGAGUACAAAUGUUUAGAUUAUUCAUAAUUUUGUUUUUCAAAUGUUGGUUAAAUGUCACUCUCCUGUUGCUCUUGACUGCAGUAUUACUGUUUCUAAUUGCAUUGAACACUGGUGCUCUUACACUAUUCGACUGUAUUUCAUACCAAGUCUUCAUGUGUCCUAUAUGCUUGUCGAUGACUUUUCCUUCCUCUACUUCAAUUAUUACUUUGGGCUUCUACAUAUAUGGAUAAAAAUACUACAUCAACUUGAGAUUUUACUAGCUGAUCGAAAUACACAGCAAUAAAAAAGAAGUUAUAGUAACUGAGGAUUGAAUUGAAGCAUAGUUGGUGUUCAGCCGUAGAUUGCUACUGGUUCUAACUGACUUUGAUCCAUGGAUAAAACUUAAUUAUGGUUUUGAGUUUUGACUGUUCAACAAGCCUACCACUCUUUGUUCUUCAUAGGGAUUUUUUCUGAAAGAUUAAAAAAAAUGAUAUGAAUGUAUGUCAUUUUAUAAUUUCUUGUAACAAAUCUUUCUCUCUUCCUGUGGUACUUUUCUGAAUCACUUCAAACAAAAUAAUGUAUUGUAACUAGUUCUUGGUUUAUUGGCCUUUCUUGUAAAUUGGCUUGGUAGCUUAACCACUAGAUGAUCAAAUUGCUAUGUUGGAUGGCUUGUGGGUAAAUGUUGAUGGAGAUUUUACUUUUAGAUUGUUUUGUUUUAUAAUUUGAUCACACCAUUUUUACCUUUUUUAUGACAUUAUUUUAACUAUUGGCUGUUUAAUAUACUUUUUCUGUUGAUAUGCUUGUCAAUUGCUCAUUUCUUUGGUUAACUUCUAUUGGAACGUUCACCUUUUGUCAUGAUAGGAAACACGAUAUCGCCAGAGAUAUCUGGAUCUAAUGCUAAAUCAUGAAGUUAGGCAAAUAUUCAGGACUCGUGCAAGGAUCAUCUCUUAUAUCCGGAGUUUUCUCGACAAUCUUGGUUUCCUCGAGGUUGCUCCCUCUCUCCUGUCCCCUUAGAAGAAUAUUUGAUUUGGCUAAAUUGCAAAAACCCUCCUGUAAAUAGCAUCAUUUGCACUUUGCCCCUAAAAAUAUAAAAAGUAAUAUUUAACUUCCUGAUUUUUAGACCUUUAGCACUUAACCUGCGUCCUGUCACAUCUUUUGUUCAGGAUUUAUUAGGUAGUCUCAAAAUAUAAUCUAAAAGACCCAUUUCAUCCCUUUUUAUGGUGGAAAAUAUUAUGCUUAUGGACUUCUAAUACUUUCUGAGUGGAAAGAUGUGACAGUAAGGGUCUUAUAUGCUAAUAUUCUGAAAAUUAAGGGUUUCUUGCCUUCAUUUGUAUUGAUUUUCUUUACUAGUUUUAAAUGCAUUUUCUUCAUACUCAGGUGGAAACACCUAUGAUGAACAUGAUCGCUGGUGGGGCAGCUGCCAAGCCUUUUGUCACCCACCACAAUGAAUUGAACAUGAAAUUGUACAUGCGCAUUGCUCCCGAACUCUACCUCAAGGAGUUGGUUGUUGGUGGUCUAGAUCGUGUCUAUGAAAUCGGAAAGCAGUUCAGAAAUGAGGGGAUUGAUUUGACCCAUAAUCCCGAGUUCACCACAUGCGAAUUCUAUAUGGCUUUUGCAGAUUAUAAUGAUUUGAUGGCAGUCACAGAACAGAUGUUAGCCGGUGUGUAUAAGUCUGUGAAAUCACUAUAAUUACAGUUGUUCUUAAUGUUAGUUGAACUUUUGUAAUGUUUACAUAUAUGCCCCUAUAAAAACACCGAUUUAUACGUAUUCCUCUGCAAAAGAUGAUUUUUUAUGUAUAUUCUUCAAGAACUCACUUUCUUACAUACAUGCGUCGAACUUGUGGCAAUGCCUCCGCCAAAAAUCAUUUUAUAGUACAAAAUGACUUUCGACCCAUUAAUUGAAUGACUCUUGACUUAAAUUAUUGAUAUUUUUGUUAGAAGCUGCAGCAGUGAGGGGGCAUAUCAGAAAUUUGAUUUUACAGGGAUAUAGGAAUAGAUGAUUUUGCAGGGGUAUAUAUAUGUAAUUGCCCUUGAUUAGGGUUUUCUUUGCUGAAACAAUGAACAGGAAUGGUGAAGGAACUAACAGGUGGUUAUAAAAUAAAAUACCAUGCCAAUGGAGUUGACAAAGAUCCAAUAGAGAUUGAUUUUACUCCGCCUUUCAGGUAUAAUCUCUUUUUUCCAUUUUGUUUAAUUAAUGUAGUUAGCCAUUUUUAUUUCGUAAUGACAUAUAUUGGUUGCUGUAAAUUAGGAGGAUUGACAUGAUUGAAGGACUGGAGUCUAUGGCAAAUCUUGAUAUACCGAAAGAUCUUUCUAGCGAAGCUGCAAAUAAAUACUUGGUAGAUGCAUGUGCAAAGUUUGAUGUCAAAUGCCCACCACCUCAGACAACAGCAAGAUUAUUAGAUAAGGUUAUUCUCCAUUCAAUUACAUUUCUUGAGAAAUUUGAAGGAAGGUAUGUUUUGUCGGGUUUGUUGCAUUAAGGGGCAGUAAGACUAUUGAAGAAGCGAACUAAUGAAGCAAGAUCUGAGCUGAAAAGAAACUGUGUGGGGCUUUGUUGCAUUAAGGGGCAGUAAGACUAGUGAAAGAAGCGAACUAAUGAAGCAAGAUCUGUGUGUGGAAUUUCAGACUCUUUGGCCUAGUUUCUGGAACAAAUUCUGUUGUUUGAAAAUUUAUAGCCUGGCUGAAGAGGUCCUUACGACCUAGAAUUCUGUAAAUAACUGUAUGAUGAGUUUUGCUAUUUGCUUUUGCAGCUUGUUGGGCAUUUCCUGGAGGAGACAUGUGUGAACCCGACCUUUAUUAUUAACCAUCCAGAGAUAAUGAGCCCAUUGGCAAAGUGGCAUAGGUCAAAGCCUGGAUUGACCGAGCGGUUUGAGCUAUUUGUCAACAAACAUGAGGUCUCUUGGUUUAUCUGCUGCUCCCAAAUUACAUCUAACUCUACUGAUGGCUAAUGUUGUCUACAAAACUCUUUCAGGUAUGCAAUGCUUACACAGAGUUGAACGAUCCUGUCGUACAGCGCGAACGCUUUGCUGCGCAGCUGAAGGUACUAAGAUACAGAAAGAGGAUAGCAAGUUCAUUAGAAAAAUGAGGGGUUUUAUAUAGUCUGCUCUAUAAUCUGAAUUUUCAUUUUCACUCUUAGUGCAGUUUCUUAGGAAAUUGUUGUAGUCAUCCCAUCAAGCGAAGAAGUUGGUUUUCAUUAGAAAACAUUUUUAAAGAGGGGCACAUAUAUGCAAAUUCAGAUUUUGUAGAUAAAUAUAUGUAAAUAGAUAAAUUACGGGUAUUGUAUGAAAAAUAUCUCUGAAAAAUAUCUCUGUAAGUAAACCCUAAACCCUGUUCCCUCUGUUUAGGAUUUUGGGUUUAGGCUCUAGGACUAAAUGCUACAAUAUUGAUAAGAAAUUGAAGUGCUGUGGUGUUGUGGAAAUUAUCACAUAAUCAUGAUUCUAAUCUAUUGUUCAUGGUUUUAGGAUCGACAAUCAGGUGAUGAUGAGGCAAUGGCUUUAGAUGAAACCUUUGUUACUGCUCUGGAAUAUGGCUUGCCCCCAACUGGGGGGUGGGGAUUGGGGAUUGAUCGCCUUGCUAUGUUAUUCACAGAUUCACAAAACAUUAAGGUUUGCCUUUUUUUUUUUUUUUUUUUUUCAGAUUUAAGUUAAAAGUCUCUGUAAGUGCUCUGAGAAAUUUAAUGAGUUUGUCAAAAUAACAUUUGUUUUCCUUUUUUAUUUGGUGGCUGCAGGAAGUCCUUCUAUUCCCUGCCAUGAAGCCUCAAGAUGAACCUUCAUCCAAAGGUAAUUGAAUUUGAAGCUUGUUUUUCUCUUUUGUGAAUAGAAUUCAAAUUGUUGCUUCUGUACUUCUUUCGGUAUGAAAGAUCAGUUAGAGAUAUGCUAGCUCCCAUCCCAACUGGAUUAUUUUAAGUGAAAAAUAAAAGAAAACAAAUUCUUUCCUUGUGAGCCAGAGAAACUUUCUAAAAAGUAGGUUCAAGGGUAACACGAACUAUGUCAUUUGGAAACAUGUUUCUGAACUCUAGUUUUUUUGCCAUUGUUUGAUUCCAGAAAAUCCAAGCUCUGUGGGAACUUAAUGGUAUACGUUGAAAAAAAAAAAGAUAUCGAGUAAUCCAUUACGUUGUUAGAUAUUUCAUUAACUUACGGUUAUCCAGUAAAAGAAAAAAAGUGUACAAGAAAACCAGAAGGGUGAUCAGAUAUCUUAAGCAUGCUCAUGUUGUGUACUUUCAAUUAAGCAUUGUGUUUGUUUGAGUUGAGAAACCGUUUUUUGGUGAUCGGCAUUUAAAAUUCUAGUUGCCACUCAAACAACUCAGGUAAAGACGAAUUGACUCUGGAAAGGCCAUCAUGAGUACCAAAAGAUUGACAUCCUAAAAAAAUCUAAUAUUUAGUAUGCUUGAAGUCAAGCAAGUUGCAAUCUGAUAGUAUAAUCUCGAUAGCUGUUUUCUAGAUCACUCGACGUUUUUUUAUUUUUAUUUUGUUGGAAAAUUCAUAAUCAUGGUGCUUGAUGGUCGAAAGUAAACAACUCCCGAAGCUAGCGCGGUGAACCGGUGAUGCAUGAUUGAAGUUGGAUUCUAAAUUGUCAUGCCCUAUGUUGGAGCUUAGAUUCGGCUCCUAUUUAUCUCUAGGGAUAUACUCAGCAAGGCCUUAUUCUUCUUCUUUUUUCUUAUUUCCGUGUUACUAUCUAUCUAACCUUGUUAGAUAACUUUUUCUAUGGCAUGCAUCGUCAUCCCCUAAGAUAGCCAAACUAAGCCUUUUUUUGGUGGGGGAUUUUGCAGCAGCUUAGCUGGUUAUACUUCAAUCAAUCUCAACUUUGGAAUUUCCGAAAUUCUAUGUGACAAAGAGGAUUUCACGGAGAUUGAAAGGCGUACUCUUGGCUACUUCAUUUUUGUUCACUUUAUCUUCUAAUUGAAUAGGUGUUCAUAUAGAUUCUUAACUGCAAAAGUAUGCUUUUGUUUGCUGUUGUUUUUUUCAUUUUCUCACAUUACAGUUGUUGUAUGUGUUAAUUUUUGUUGCUGUCUAGUAACAUUCACAUGGGUAUUUAUACAGUUGAUGGGAUUUUUUUUUUUUUUUUUUUUUUUUGGGUGUUUUCACAAUCAGUGGGUUCAGUUGUUCUUGUAAUUUCUUAGGUAAAACUGUAUCCAAGUAACAUGAACUUUGGGUCAUAUUGAAAUUAGGCUAUUCAACUUUUGAAAAUCUUGGUUUUACUACAAAACCCUUGAAAUUGAUUAGUUGGAUUCAUUCGAUGGUUGUGAGAAAUUAUUAUUUGCAAUAUGCAAUUUGCCCUUUGCACGUUAUAAGCUUCGUUUGAUUAUUUUUUUUUAUUUGGAUUAUUAUUCUUUUUAUCAUUCUCUCAGGUUUGUUUGAUAUCUCAUUGGCUACUGCUUUAAAUUGCAUCGGUAUCCAAUCAUCUUUUGUAUGUAUAAAAUUUUGAGACUAUUGUUUGCAGCGAAAAAUCAGAAACUGGGCGAACUAUUUACCUGUCUAGCCUCUUUACAAAAAAAUAUUACCUAUCUAGCCUUCUUUUGAAAAAUAUUCUCCAUCUAGCCUCAUUUUCAAAGAUUAGAGAAAAAAAGAGAAAUUAAUACCUUUAAUAUAUAUUAAGGGGUUAAGUAGGGGAAAUUAUUUUUUUCUCUCUCCUCUUCUAUUUUUCGAGAUUCUUUCUCACUCUCUAAUUUUUGCGUAUAAUUUAUCUCAUAUCGAUUUAUUUUAAAAUAGAAAAUUUUUAUAUAGCGCAUCAACCAAUUUCAAUCUUUUUAUAUUUUGAUGGAAAUAUUAUGCAUGGUUCGGAAGGAGUUGAUUAUAAUGGUCCUGAUCCAAAACUAUUUGGAUUUCUCGUACUUUAGGUUUUAAUACAUUAAAACAUAAAAUUUAUAGGCCGAAUGGGAUCAAGAUUAUUUUGAUAUAAAAAUUAAUGGGAGAGGAGAGAGAAAAAGAUAAUCUCCCCCACUUAACCCCUUAAUAUAUAUUAAAGGAAUUAAUUUUUCUUUUUUUCUCUAAUCUUUGAAGAUGAGGCUAGAUGGGGAAUAUUUUUCAAAAGAAGGCUAGAUAGGGAAUAUUUUUUUGUAAAGAAGCUGGAUAGGUAAAUAGUUCAAACUGGGCUAUCUCAUUCUGAAAAAGGGGAAACUCAGUGUUCUCCAUCUAUUUACAUAAAAAGGAAUUACUAGAGAAUACUUUAAGAGUCUUUUUUUUAUUUUUUUUUUAAAUUUCCUGUGCUGUAUUAUUUUUGUUUCAAAAAUUCCACUAAACUAUCUAUUAUCAACUUCUGUACUGCAAGUAAUAAAUCUAUAACUCAGACAAAUUAUUAGUUCUUUUAAAACGGCACUGGAUGUAUAGUUGGCUCAUUUGGUUAGGUAAAAAAAAACUAGAAUAUUACAAAUAGCAAAAAAAAAAAAAGUUGAAAUAAAUAUUUCCAUAAAUUUAUUUUGGAGGCUCGUUUUGUUUUCUUUUCCUACCAUCUAACUGCCGCCUUUUUACUAUAAUUUAACUUCUGUUAAAAAUAAUAAAUUUACUGACACUUAUGUAGAAGUUGGUCAAAAAAUAAUAGUUAAGUGGUAUUUUUGAAAAAAUAACAAAAAAUAGCAUAUAAAAGUAGAUCUAAAAGUAAAGAGAUUGUUUUAAAAAAGAAAAAAAAUAUUCGAAUAUCACCCAUGUAGUUUCAUAUUUUCUCACUUUAGUACUCUGUAGUUUAAAAUGUAUCAUUUUUGUACCCAUUAAUUUUAUUUUAUUUUUUUAUUAUUCCAUCCACUAAUUUUUAUCGUUAAAGUAAUGACAAAGUUAAAACUAAAAGGUACUAAAGUAAAUAUUCGAUAAACUAUAUAGCCAGGGUAUCUGAAGUUUUUUAUAUAUGAUUUAAUGAAAGUUAACGAAGGAGUUGACGAAAAGAAAAAAAUAAAAUCACAGGGUACUAAAUUGAUAUAUUUUAAAUCACAUAAUACUAAAGUGAAAAAGUGCGAAAUUAUAUAUGUGGUGUUUAAAAUUUACCCUAAAAAAUUAUUAAAUAAACGAAAAAAAAAAAUCUAAAGCACAAUGUAGAAAGAUAUAAUUAAGCUAAUAUUUUAGUUAAAAAUAUUAAGCUAAUAUUUUUAGUUGAAGCGCUGAGCAAGCAUUUGGAAAAUUGGAAUCAAAAGUCACAGAGUCGUUGCAUCUCUAAACCUAACGCGUAGUUAAAAAAUAACCAAAAAUUUAAAAAAAAAACUUUUUUUAAUGAAAACCGGUGAACCGGAUAGUUAAACCAGGUGAACCGGAUCAUAUGGUUGACCGUUGACUGCUCCAUUUAAUGCUCGAGAAUAUUCCGUGCUUUUCGGAGUAUUCCAAUAUUGGGUGCACCCGGUCUAUAAUUACAGUUGUAUAAAAUUAUACCUUAAUAAAUAGUUACUGUCCCUUUAGUGGAGUUCUAUUUGGGGCAAAAAUUGUAUGGGCAUAAAAGUUUGGGGAGGAUGCAGAUGGGCGCCGCGUGGCCCGCGCGCCCAUCCUCGCCCUCCUCUCCCCUCCGCCGACUUCUUUCUCUCUCUGUCUCUAAAAAAAAAAACGGAGCUCACAAUUUUUUUUUUUUUUUUUAGGGUUUCCGAGGGUCGUGACUCGCGACGCGGCGUCCAUCGGCAUCGUCCAAACAACUUGUUUGGGGACGAUGCCCAGCAAAAUUUUGCCCUUCUAUUUGAUCCUUGCAUUUUUGAAUAUCUAAAAUAUUAAAAAAAAAAGAUUAUAUUAUAUCAAACCAAGGGCAUAUUUGUUUUUAUUGAAAGUGAAAGAGUGAUGUUGACUUCGACUGUAAAUAUUUAUUUUUUUUAUUUUCUUCGCUAUAAAUUAAAUUUGAAAAUAUUUUUUUUUUUUUCCAAGCGCCACAAUUGACUUUGACUAGAGUGAUACGGAAAAGAGAAAGAUGGAAAGAAUAAUAAAAACAUAGUAACUGGAAUUUUUCUUUUUUCACCCUAUAUGUGCUAGUGUAGAAAUUUUUAUUAAAGUAAUAAAAGAUGGAAUAGCAAAAAUAAAAUUUUCUUUAUUGAUUUCCAGUAAUCAAACAAACAAUAGUGGACAUUUUUUAAAUCUCAACUUUAGUUUAGCUAAAAUUAAUUCUUUCCCUCAAAAUUAGUUACGGGCAAACAAGAUGGCCCUAUAUUUGUGAAUUUUCAGAUGAUUUAAUUUAUUUUAGCAUCCAAAAACUACUAAAAAGUUUUUAUUUAAUCCUUGUCAAUAUUUGCUGUUGUAGGGCAAAUUAUUGGCUACACAUCAUGCAUUUGUACUUUUAUUAUGUUUUCUUUUGCUUUUAUCUCAUGUUGUGUUUCAAUUGUUUCGUCCAUAAAGUUAUAAAUUUUCUUAAUUUAGAAAUUAGACUUAUAAUGGCGAAUCCAUAAAUUUAUGUUGUGUGGGGCGUACAAAUGAACUGUGUCUCAAUUGUUUUAUCCAUAAAAUUAUAACUUUUCUUAAUUUAGAAAUUAGACUUAUGAUGGAGAACAGAUGAAUUUUUGGUGUAUGGGGGCGUAAAAACGAACAUAAUAAAAGUAAAAUAUUACUGAUAUUCAAUGCUUUAAAAUAUCGAAUUUAAGAGCUUGAGGACCAAGAAAUUUUUUUUUUCUUGAGAUAAAUCAGGAACUAGUACUAUAAUUCGAAUUUGAAAUAUCAGAUAUCAAUAAUCAAUUCCUUAGCCUAUUGCGGUAGUCACAAACAAUAUUAUUAAAAGGUCUUUAGUAUUUUAAUUUGAAUUUUACUAUAUAGUAAUCUUUGCAAAAAUCUAUGGCCUUUUGUGGGAUUAUAUUAUCAAAAGUAGUUAUUUAUAUAUUUUAAAAGGCCAAAAAAAUAUGCAUUUUUAAACUUGUAUCGAAUGCUAUAAAAUUACUUUGGAAAUAACAACUUUUGAUAAUAUAAUCCCACAAAAGGCCAUAGAUUUUUGCAAAGAUUACUAUAUAGUAAAANCAAAAGUAGUUAUUUAUAUAUUUUAAAAGGCCAAAAAAAUAUGCAUUUUUAAACUUGUAUCGAAUGCUAUAAAAUUACUUUGGAAAUAACAACUUACCUCUACACUAACUUUUAUCUACUAUAAUCUUGUAUAUAAUAUUAGAGGAGAGUUUUGAUGUAUUUUCAAUUUCUCGAAAGUUUCAGAAUAUAAAAAUUAUUGCGUUUUAACGCCACAAUUCAAAAAUUAGGCGUCAGUAUUCAAAAACAAAAAUAGAAAUAGGAUAAAUUAUACUUUUGGCCUUCAAACUAUGUAGCGUGCGACACUUUGAUCCUCAAAGUUCUAGUUCGAAUUUUCUAAAUUAUUACAGUUAAGUCUCAUGGGUACUGAUAUAUCAUAUUAGAAAAAAUUAAUCCAUGGGCUAAAGCGUAAGGGGCAUGGUUGUAACUUUACUAUUGCCAAGAUAUUUAUUGGAUAAAAACACAGGACAGUCCCUCGUACUAUUACAAAUAUAUAAGUAGGUCCUUUUAUUCUUUUAAUUUUCACACUAUAGUUUUUGAACUUCAAUAAACAUUAUACUUUAGUUUCUAAAUUUUUUAAAAAUUAUUUUUUAUUAUAAAAAAGCCUCUAUAUUCUUGCACAAUUUAAUUAUGCUUAAAUAAUUUAAACAACUUCCGAAGAACAUAACAUAAUUAUUUUGUAAAAAAUAAAUUUUUUAAUGACUAAAGAUUAUAAAAUAUAAUAAUAUAUAUGAAAGUUUAGUAGACUAAUUACUUUGAAUGACAAGGCAAUUGUACAGGGGCUAUCCAUACAUUUUGUUGCCUUUUUUUUUUUAACAAAUUUCUUAUGUUGCUGGGAAAAAUUGUAUCUUGCACUUGGUGUAUUUAUAUUUACCAUGCACCAACUAACACUAAUCAUCCAUCCAAAUCCUAUUUAAUCUUUUAAUUCUAAAUAUUUUAAAUUUGUAAUAUUUUGUAGGGGCUGUUGCUCAUUUACUCUUGUUUACUAUUCAAAAAUUUUAAAUUUAUCCUAAAAUUAUCAAAAUAUCUUUCUAAAUCAGCAUUCCCAUUAGUAAAUUUGACAAUAUUUGAAGGGGUUUUUAGAAAUCAAUAAGAGUAUUUUGGUCGAUCAGAAAUAUAUUAGAUAUUUUUAAAAUUUUGGAGGGUGUGUUAGAUAUUAUCCGUAUUUUUUAUUUGAUAUUUGAAUCAUUUUAUUUGAUUAGGUAUCAAUAUAUCAUAUGCUAGCUACCAAAGACUAAUAUUUUCUCACUAAUAUUUUUUGUUUUUUUAAUAGAAUUUUUAAGCCCUUCAAAAGAUAGAUGUAAGAGUUACAUUCUAUAAAUAGGGUGUACAGAUAAUAUUUUUUUUGAAAAAACUUCAAAUACCAUCCUUGUGAUUUCACACUUUCUCACUUCAGUAUCGUGUGGUUUAAAGUGUAUCAAUUUAGUGCCAUAUGGUUUUAUUUUUAUCUUUUUAUUAUCGAUUUCAUUAAUUUUUUUCAUUAAAUCAGUGACAAAGUUAAAACUAAAAGGUACUAAAGUGAAUAUUCGAUAAAUUUAAAUAGAGUAUCUGAAAUUUUUUUAUAUAUAGUUUAACGAAAUAUUAACGAAAAAGUUGACGAAAAAAUAAAAAUGAAACUAUACGAUACUAACUUGAUACACUUUAAAUUAUAAGGCACUCAAGUGAGAAAGUGCGAAACUAUAGGGGUGGUAUUU
RNAcentral lists this long non-coding RNA (43298 nucleotides) under Ananas comosus (pineapple). Its description in RNAcentral is "long non-coding RNA (ACOM_LNC008534)". Lineage: Eukaryota; Viridiplantae; Streptophyta; Magnoliopsida; Poales; Bromeliaceae. The record is from RNAcentral.